Molecule: long non-coding RNA, 5856 nt
Organism: Oncorhynchus tshawytscha (Chinook salmon)
Lineage: Eukaryota; Metazoa; Chordata; Actinopteri; Salmoniformes; Salmonidae
Source: Ensembl
GUUCGAUGUGUUUUCUCAAAAAGCCACGGGAUGGAACUGCCUUUUGAACAAUGAAAACAGUUAAGCUGUUUCCAAAACAAAAACUCAGAGAGAGGUAGAGAGAGAGAGAUGGAGAGGUAGAGAGAGAGAGAUGGAGAGGUAGAGAGAGAGAGAUGGAGAGGUAGAGAGAGAGAGAUGGAGAGGUAGAGAGCGAGAGAUGGAGAGGUAGAGAGAGAGAUAGAGGUAGAGAGAGAGAGAUGGAGAGGUAGAGAGAGAGAUGGAGAGGUAGAGAGAGAGAGAUGGAGAGGUAGAGAGAGAGAGAGAUGGAGAGGUAGAGAGAGAGAGAUGGAGAGGUAGAGAGAGAGAUGGAGAGGUAGAGAGAGAUGGAGAGGUAGAGAGAGAGAGAUGGAGAGGUAGAGAGAGAGAUGGAGAGGUAGAGAGAGAGAGAUGGAGAGGUAGAGAGAGAGAGAUGGAGAGGUAGAGAGAGAGAGAUGGAGAGGUAGAGAGAGGUAGAGAGAUGGAGAGGUAGAGAGAGAGAGAUGGAGAGGUAGAGAUGGAGAGAUGGAGAGGUAGAGAGAGAGAGAUGGAGAGGUAGAGAGAGAGAGAUGGAGAGGUAGAGAGAGAUGGAGAGGUAGAGAGAGGUAGAGAGAGAGAGAUGGAGAGGUAGAGAGAGAGAGAGAUGGAGAGGUAGAGAGAGAGAGAUGGAGAGGUAGAGAGAGAGAGAUGGAGAGGUAGAGAGAGGUAGAGAGAUGGAGAGGUAGAGAGGUAGAGAGAUGGAGAGGUAGAGAGAGAGAGAUGGAGAGGUAGAGAUGGAGAGAUGGAGAGGUAGAGAGAGAGAGAUGGAGAGGUAGAGAGAGGUAGAGAGAUGGAGAGGUAGAGAGAUGGAGAGAUGGAGAGGUAGAGAGAGGUAGAGAGAUGGAGAGGUAGAGAGAGGUAGAGAGAUGGAGAGGUAGAGAGAGAGAGAUGGAGAGGUAGAGAGAGAGACAUGGAGAGGUAGAGAGAGAGAUGGAGAGGUAGAGAGAGAGAGAUGGAGAGGUAGAGAGAGAGAGAUGGAGAGGUAGAGAGAGAGAGAUGGAGAGGUAGAGAGAGAGAGAUGGAGAGGUAGAGAGAGAGAGAUGGAGAGGUAGAGAGAGAGAGAUGGAGAGGUAGAGAGAGAGAGAUGGAGAGGUAGAGAGAGAGAUGGAGAGGUAGAGAGAGAGAGACGGAGAGGUAGAGAGGUAGAGAGUUUCCAGCUUGUUCAUAUAUACAAUGUGUAGCCAAACUGCAAGUCACUUGUCUGAACCCCCUUACUACAAGUGCUUGCAGAAUUUAGCUUGAAGGAAAGCCAUAAACCAUCCAUCAUCAUUUGUUUGAAUGUAUUUUAAAGCAAGCACAUGAUUAACAGAUUACACAAAUUAUUUUUACAGUAGCAGUAGAAACUAAACUAAAACAUAUCAAAUGUUAUAAUAUGUGAAGCCUAUAACAUGCCUAAGUAGAAAUAUAUGAAUGACCUUAAUCCCCAAUCUGCUUUAAAGCACAGCCAUGUUCUUCAUUGAUUAGUUCCACCUUCCUCCUGUUAAUAGUCAGGGGACAUUGUGUACUUAUACAUUUAGAUGGUUUUGUAGAUAUACGGAUAUCCAAUCUGAUGUGAGAGGUUAUUGUCCUAGCACCUAUUGUACCAAGAAAAACAUGACAUGUAUGAUGCUUGAUUGGUUAUUUGUUUCAGUUCCUUACUUCAUAAUCGACAUAAUCCCAAUCGUUACACACAAAGCUUACUGUCUAUGAGAUACAUUUGCUACCUUUUCACCACUCUCCAAAUUUUUUAUUUCAUCUUUAUUUAACCAGGUAAGCUAGUUGAGAAGAAGUUCUCAUUUACAACUGCGACCUGGCCAGGAUAAAGCAAAGCAGUGCGACAGAAACAACAACACAGAGUUACAUGGAAUAAACAAGCGUACAGUCACUAACACAAUAGAAAAAAGAAAGUCUAUAUACAGUGUGUGCAAAUGGCAUGAGGAGGUAAGGCAAUAAAUAGGCCAAUAGGCCAAUUUAGCAGAUUAACACUGGAGUGAUAGAUGAGCAGAUGAUGGUGUGUAAAGUAGUGAUACUGGUGUGCAAAAGAGCAGCAAAGUAAAUAAAAACAAUAUGGGGAUGAGGUAGGUAGAUUGGGUGGGCUAUUUACAGAUGGACUAUGUACAGCUGCAGCGAUCGGUUAGCUGCUCAGAUAGGUGAAGUUUAAAGUUAGUGAGGGAAAUGUAAGUCUCCAGUUUCAGCGAUUUUUGCAAUUAGUUCCGGUCACUGGCAGCAGAGAACUUGAAGGAAAGGCGGCUAAAGGAGAUGUUAGCUUUGGGGAUGACCAGUGAGAUAUACCUGCUGGAGCGCGUGCUACGGGUGGGUGUUGUUAUUGUGACCAGUGAGCUGAGAUAAGGUGGAGCUUAGACUUGUAGAUGACCUGGAGCCAGUGGGUCUGGCGACGAAUAUGUCGAGGGCCAGCUGACUAGAGCAUACAGGUCGCAGUGGUGGGUGGUAUAAGGCGCUUUGGUAACAAAACGGAUGGCACUGUGAUAGACUGCAUCCAAUUAGCUGAGUAGAGUAUUGGAAGCUAUUUUGUAGAUGACAUCACAGAAGUCGAGGAUCGGUAGGAUAGUCAGUUAUUACUAGGGUAAGUUUGGAGGCGUGAGUGAAGGAGGCUUUGUUGCGAAAUAGAAAGCCGAUUCUAGAUUUGAUUUUGGAUUGGAGAUGUUUGAUAUGAGUCUGGAAGGAGAGUUUACAGUCUAGCCAGACACCUAGGUAUUUGUAGUUGUCCACGUAUUCUAGGUCAGAACCGUCCAGAGUAGUGAUGCUAGUCAGGCGGGCGGAAAGGCCUGCUCACAGAAGUGUUUAGGAUACAGAUAUAGACCCAGACAUAGCAGAGUUGCUGAUGGAGGAUGAGGAUACAGAUAUAGACCCAGACAUAACAGAGUUACUAAAGGAGGAUGAGGAUACAGAUAUAGACCCAGUCAUAGCAGAGUUACUGAAGGAGGAUGAGGAUGCAGAUAUAGACCCAGACAUAGCAGAGUUACUGAAGGAGGAUGAGGAUGCAGAUAUAGACCCAGACAUAGCAGAGUUGCUGAUGGAGGAUGAGGAUACAGAUGUAGACGCAGACAUAGCAGAGUUGCUGAUGGAGGAUGAGGAUACAGAUAUAGACCCAGACAUAACAGAGUUACUGAAGGAGGAUGAGGAUACAGAUACAGACCCAGACAUAACAGAGUUACUGAAGGAGGAUGAGGAUACAGAUAAAGACCCAGACAUAACAGAGUUACUGAAGGAGGAUGAUGAUAUAGAUAUAGACCCAGACAUAACAGUUACUGAAGGAGGAUGAGGAUACAGAUAUAGACCCAGACAUAACAGUUACUGAAGGAGGAUACAGAUAUAGACCCAGACAUAGCAGAGUUACUGAUGGAGGAUGAGAAUGCAGAUAUAGACCAAGUUCUCAUUUAGAACUGCAACCUGGCCAAGAUAAAGCACAGCAGUUCGACACAUACAACAACACAGAGUUACACACAGAAUAAACAAACGUACAGUCAAUAAUACAGUAUUGUGCAUUGGUGCUGGUACCAGGGAGCCAUAGAAAAUUGUAAAGAUCCACCCUGUCACAAAAACCUUGGAGGCCAUAUAUUUUUUAAUAGAGAGGUUGCACAGAAAAUGGUACCUGUAUAUCAUAGGAUGUCAAAUGAUAAUGUCCUCAAAAGAAUCUAGCACCCAGAAUGAAAAUGAAUGUCUGAACUCUGUAGUAUGGUCACGAUGCCCCAAAACUGUCUUCUUGGACAAAAGCCGCAUUGACGGAGCAGCCAGUAUGGCAGUAGCUAUGUUCAGUGAGGGAGCCACUGCUAUAACAAAUCUGAUGAACAAAUUGUGUCUUGACAGCACUUUGGUGACACUGGUGCAAUCAGAGAGGAGUUGUGAGAGCUGAUGCUGCUUCAACAGAGUGUGCCAAGCAUAGGCGCAGGUCCCAUGACACAGUCAAGAAAGUAAAGCGUCACCAACAACAACUCAGAGGGCCUUACAUAUGGGCCAGGCAUAGCUGAUUUAAUGUCCUGCACAUUUCAACAGCCAUACAAAAUCCUUGUAUGUGACAAAUUGAGCAAAGUGAUAUGAGAAUUUGCCCAAAAGAAGGCAGGCAAUGGAACAGAGAGCUUUCAGGAAAAACAGCACUGCCGGGUUGGAUUUUCCUCAGGUUUUCGCCUGCAAUAUCAGUUCUGUUAUAGUCACAGACAAUAUUUUGACUGUUUUUGAAACUUUAGAGUUUUUCUAUCCUAAUCUGACAAUUAUAUGCAUAUUCUAGAUUCUGGGCCUGAGAAAUAGGCAGUUUCAUUUGGGUAUGUUUUUCAUCCAAACAUCAACAUACUGCCCCUACACUCAACAGGUUAAUAGUGUUUUUUAAAAAUAUAUUCCAUGAAAUUACAAUAUUUUGAUAAACAAAUCUGUAAAGUCUGACCAUUGAGUGUCUUAUCACAACAAAACAAAAAUAAUUCUGCCUUGAAGAAAUGUUUUGGAAAAACAGAUUCUCAAAAUAUGCAAAUUAGCACAUAUUUAAGGACGGUUUGCCACAUUUGCAUAUUCAAUUGUUUUAAUAAAUUGAACUUGUAAAACAAUAAUAUCUUGUAUUAAUGCAUACUUUUAACUGGUAAAGUUUCAGUCUAAUGAGAGUAAAGGAAAAAAAUCCCUGUUAGCCUCUGUCAAGCUCUUGAUUUUGUUGAGAUUGACGUAUUGGUAGUCAUGAUGCAUACAGUAGUUAUAAUUCCUUCCAUAUUACUAAAGUCUAUAAUCAACUUGACCAUCAAUUCAUUUAAGUGAAUUUUCAUAACCAACACGAGCUUAGGGUUUUUGGAUCCCCUCCAGACCAUGAUGAAUUAUGAGAGUGGAGCUGUUGAUGUUCAGUAACCUUGGCUGGUCUGGUAACCUUGGCUGGUCUGAAAAGAUUUCCUAGAACCUCUCCACAGCAGCCGCUGGCCUACCACGCUAGUGUUGUGUUCUCACACAAGCCAUGCAUGUUCUGUAGAAGCUGGCGUUUCCUCAACAGGGCCAGAUGCUUCCUUCAGGAAUCCUCCAUCAUCUGUCUCCUGAUUUGCUGUUGAAACAUUUGGCAAAAUAUCAAUCCUAGGAAAGAGCAACGAGUUUACCUUUGCAUCCCAUUAACUCAAAGUAAACUCUGUUGAAGUGCGCCAUGUAAUGACACUUCACGAAUUUACUGAGAAUUUGUAUGUUUGUGCAUUUGGUUCCUCAGGCCAACUGCAAGGAGAAAUCACAAACACUUAAUCCUUAAUUUAUCCAUAAAGGACACUUCUCUAUAUAAGGAAAUAAGACACUAUCUCAGGGUUAAAAGGUGGCCGGUCUCAAGAUUUUACUGUCUGGCACAGAGUGGUAGAAGCUGUAACUAACUAUACAUCGGCCAGGCCUAUGUAGUGAAGCUCUCCCACAUACAUACUGUAUCUUAAAGGACCAUGGCAUGAUUCAUUGUAGCUACCUCAGUUCCUCCCUCUUUAUCUAAAAUAUUGGCUAGAUGGAUGCAGAAAAAAAGUCCCCCAAAACAUACAAUAGCCUGUCAAAAGGAGACAAAUUGACAAGUGGUCUAUGAGGUGUUUUAAAUCUGGUUAGUUUGAACUUUUCUGUUAUGUAAUGUGACAGGUUACUACACUCUUUGGAAAGUCUGUUUGCUUGCCUACCCGUUGUGAGAGCAAAAUUGCAAGAUUAUAUUACAAUGCUGUAAUUGCAUCAAAUGGUUGUUUUCUGCAACAUAAUAGAGGGUUCUUAUAACUCUAUUGUGUCCGUGUAAACUGAAAGUGGGCCUCUGGGAGAUUUAACAUGGACAGGAGAUUUACGAUGUCUUUGGGUGAUACCGCAUUCCAGAGCAUGAGUUAA